ACUCUUGCAGAGAAGGGUGGAGUGUGCCGAAUAUUGACUGAUCCGACCUCCUGUUGCACAUACAUACUAAACAAUACUGGCCCCACUGGUAAGGUCACAAUAGCUAUAAAAAAGCUUGAAGAUCUGUCAAUAGAACUGAAAAAGAACUCAGGUAUAAAUAAUCCAUGGGAUCAAUACUUUGGGUGGUUCACAAG
Long non-coding RNA from Bufo bufo (common toad), 194 nucleotides. RefSeq lists it as uncharacterized. Lineage: Eukaryota; Metazoa; Chordata; Amphibia; Anura; Bufonidae. The record is from RefSeq and is a predicted model, not a curated record. The transcript has 3 exons.